GUGGGGAAUCUUGCGCAAUGGGCGAAAGCCUGACGCAGCCAUGCCGCGUGAAUGAUGAAGGUCUUAGGAUUGUAAAAUUCUUUCACCGGGGACGAUAAUGACGGUACCCGGAGAAGAAGCUCCGGCUAACUUCGUGCCAGCAGCCGCGGUAAUACGAAGGGGGCUAGCGUUGCUCGGAAUUACUGGGCGUAAAGGGCGCGUAGGCGGACAGCUUAGGCAGAGGUGAAAGCCCAGGACUCAACCUUGGAAUUGCCUUUGAUACUGGCUGUCUUGAGUUUGGGAGAGGUGAGUGGAACUCCGAGUGUAGAGGUGAAAUUCGUAGAUAUUCGGAAGAACACCAGUGGCGAAGGCGACUCACUGGCCCAAUACUGACGCUGAGGCGCGAAAGCGUGGGGAGCAAACAGGAUUAGAUACCCGGGUAGUCC
RNAcentral lists this ribosomal RNA (425 nucleotides) under uncultured bacterium. RNAcentral describes it as "partial 16S ribosomal RNA". It matches the Rfam family "Bacterial small subunit ribosomal RNA", at positions 354 to 796 of the family's 1533-position model. The record is from RNAcentral.